RNAcentral lists this ribosomal RNA (789 nucleotides) under uncultured bacterium. RNAcentral describes it as "bacterial SSU rRNA". It matches the Rfam family "Bacterial small subunit ribosomal RNA", at positions 638 to 1427 of the family's 1533-position model. The record is from RNAcentral.
UGACNUGAGUGCAGAAGGGGAGAGUGGANUUCCAUGUGUAGCGGUGAAAUGCGUAGAUAUAUGGAGGAACACCAGUGGCGAAAGCGGCUCUCUGGUCUGUCACUGACGCUGAGGCUCGAAAGCGUGGGUAGCGAACAGGAUUAGAUACCCUGGUAGUCCACGCCGUAAACGAUGAGUGCUAGGUGUUAGGCCCUUUCCGGGGCUUAGUGCCGGAGCUAACGCAAUAAGCACUCCGCCUGGGGAGUACGACCGCAAGGUUGAAACUCAAAGGAAUUGACGGGGGCCCGCACAAGCGGUGGAGCAUGUGGUUUAAUUCGAAGCAACGCGAAGAACCUUACCAGGUCUUGACAUCCCAAUGCUAUUCUUAGAGAUAGGAAGUUACUUCGGUACAUCGGAGACAGGUGGUGCAUGGUUGUCGUCAGCUCGUGUCGUGAGAUGUUGGGUUAAGUCCCGCAACGAGCGCAACCCUUAUUGUUAGUUGCCAUCAUUAAGUUGGGCACUCUAGCGAGACUGCCGGUAAUAAACCGGAGGGAGGUGGGGAUGACGUCAAAUCAUCAUGCCCCUUAUGACCUGGGCUACACACGUGCUACAAUGGUCGGUACAACGAGUUGCGAGCCGGUGACGGCAAGCUAAUCUCUGAAAGCCGAUCUCAGUUCGGAUUGGAGGCUGCAACUCGCCUCCAUGAAGUCGGAAUCGCUAGUAAUCGCGGAUCAGCACGCCGCGGUGAAUACGUUCCCGGGCCUUGUACACACCGCCCGUCACACCACGAGAGUUUGUAACACCCGAANU